This 6554-nucleotide long non-coding RNA is filed under the name Sus scrofa (pig). RNAcentral's name for it is "lncRNA (ENSSSCG00035017982.1)". Lineage: Eukaryota; Metazoa; Chordata; Mammalia; Artiodactyla; Suidae. The record is from RNAcentral.
UUUUUUUUUUUUUUUUUUUUUUUUGGUGAAUUUCUACGCACAGUAUUAAGUGACAGUUGAGAAUCACUGAACAAUAUUCAAAGUUCUGCUGAAUGUUCUGCUUUGUAAGUGGGUGACGUGAGGGGUACUGGGGGAUAUAUCAAGAUAGCCCAAUCACUUUUUAAAUGGACAAUGCCAAAUUAAAUUUAAAACAACAUCCUACCGUUGGGCCUGUAUUUACUUUUUGGUAGAUUAGAAGGUGAUUAUUUACUUUCGGAAAACAUUUAACGUUGCAUUUAACGUAUGGUUUUGAUUUUCAUGAAAAAUUUUAAGAAUUUAUCCAUUGUAUGAAAAUACAAUGAUUGGCAUAAAAGUUAAAAAAAAAAAAAAAAGAUAAAGGAAGCCUGUCAUUUGCCAAGGACAUAAGGUGAAGAAUAAAUAUGCACUUGAGAUAUACAUACUCCAAGCCUAUAGAAAACACAGGUGUACUGAUGGGAUUCUACUAUUUGUGUAGAAAUCCUAUCCAAGAAGACUUAGGAGCAGAAAUUAAAACAAGACAAUUCUUUACAGACUCUUCCAAAUUCCAGAGUAGAUAAGCCUCCUGCUGAAGCUUAUGACAUCAACAGAAAUAAAAUGAUAAGCUAUGUGCAUAAAUAAUCUACCAUGGGAGAGAGUCAUCAGGCACUAUAAACAAAAUAGUUAGCCCCCUAGGAGCUGGACCUAGUAGAACAAUCUAAAUCUAGUAGAACAGCCUAAAAGAAAUGUUUCAAAUAAUUAAGAAGUUUAAGGAAAUGGGGGGAGGAAGAAAUAUGACUCAUAGUGAGAGGAGAGUAUAGUACAGUAAAAUAAAAGACAGAUUUGAAAAAGAACUGAAUGGAAACACAGUCAAUAAGAUAAUUAAUAGAAAAAUAGAUGUGCUGCUGAGAAAAUUAGUGAAUUGGAAGAUAAAACUGAGAAAACUGUCUAAAAUAUAUCACAGAGAACAGAUGGCAAAUAUAAACAGACAGAAAAUAUGGAGGCUAGGUUGAGAAAAUCCAGCAGAUAUAAAAUCGGGCUGCUAUGCUACUCAGUUGUAAAUGCUACCAUUCACAAGGCAUCCAAUAUAAAUGGUGUUGCUUGUAUUUUUACAACAUGUCAUCCUUUAUUUAAUGGGAAUUCCAGAAAGAAAGAAUCAAGAAUGUAGGAUAAAAGGAUAAUUUUUAAAAAGAUAAUAGGGAAGAAAUUUCCAGAAUUGAAGAAAGAAACAAGUUCUCAGUUCUCUGACAGAAAAAAGUACACAAGAGUACUGGACAGUACAAAUAAAAAUAAAUUCACCCCUAAGCUAUUUGUGAGGAAAUGAAAAACAUCAAAGACAAUGAAAAACAACCAGAAAUAAAAAAGAUUAACUGAAAAGUAAUAAGCAAUCAAAAUAACUGAAAGACUUUUUAUCAGCAAUGGUGCAGGCCAUAAAACAAUGAAAUCAUUACCUUUAAAGUGCUGAGGCAACAGUUCUAUCAUUUAAAAUUUCUAAACAAAGAUGUGUUUUCACUCAACAAUAAAGUACAAUUUUUUCCACACAAUGAAAGCUCACAGUGGACAGAGCAUCAUAACACAUUCUUAAGUAAAAGUCACACAAACAAAAGCAAAAAGUGCUCUUGUUUUAGGAAGGAGGAAAAGUGAAGUACCUAAUUCAAUUUAUAGUAAUAGUAUAUAAAACACUGGAACACUACCCAAGGAAUAAAUAUAAUGGGUUACCUGUGGAGGAAGGGAGGAAUUGAAUGGAUAAGGAUAGGAGAGCAAAACUUCUCACUGAUUAUACCAUUGAUUACCCCUUUAAUAUCUGUUUAAUGGGAAAAUUCCUAAAACAUAAAACCUACCAAGACCAAACCAUGAAGAAAGAGAAAAUCUUAACAGAACUGUAAAUAGAAAGGAGACUGAGUUAGUCACUAAAAACCUUUCAACAAAGAACAGUCCAAGACCAAAUGGUUUCAUCAGUGAGUUCUACCAAACGUUGAAAGAAGAAUUAACACUACUCUUUCUCAAAUUCUUCCAAAAAGUGGUGGAAAAGAAGGAAACGCUUCUUAAUUCAUUCCAUGAGGCCAGCAUUAUUCUGAUACCCAACCAAACCAAACACUAUAAGAAAACUAUGGACAAAUAUUCCUGAUGAAUAUUGAUACAAAAAUCCUCAACAAAAUAUGAGGCAACAGAACUCAAAUCAUAUUGUAAGGAUUUUAUCCUAGGACCAAGUGAGGUUUAUUUCUGGAGUGUAAAGACGACAGCUGCCAUAGGACCCCAUUGGUCCCCAACCACUCCAGGGACCUAGUGGGCUGACACCAGCUCCAGGACACCCUGGACCUCACAGUCAGCCAUGUCAGGAAUUGGCCCUGCACACCAGUAGGCUAACACUAGGCUUCAGGACCCUGGGCCUUGUAGCCAGCUACCCUAGGAACUGGUUCUCUACAUACCAGUGAGCCAGAACUAGCCCCAGGAUUCCCAGUGCUCCACAGCCAGCACCUAAUGACACAGCCCUGCCCACCAGUGGGCUGGUAUCAGAACCAGGACUUCCCAGGCUGUGCCAGGACCUGGCCUCACUCAUCAGAAGCUGGCAGUCUCUGUAUUAGGCAGGCAGUUGCAACAAGACGAGGGGCCAGUCACACCUUCCAGCAUGCCCACAGUAGUCAGUCCACCACAACAAAAGGGGCUAUGCAGCCCACGUAGAGGGUACUCUUAGUUCUGAUGACCAAAGGGGAGUGCACUGCUGGGCCCCAUAAGAUAUUUCCUACAUAAGGCAACUUCUCUAAGAUUGGGAAGUUUAAACAACCUGUCAAAUACAUAGAAAUAAAAACAGAGAAUUAGGCAAAAUGAGGCAACAGAGGGAUAUGUACCAAAUGAAGGAACAAAAUAAAACCCCAGAACUAAGUGAAGGGGAGGUAAGCAAUUUACUCAUAAAGAUGCUCAAAGAACUCAAGACAAGAAUGGAUGAACCCAGUGAGGAGUUUAACAAAAGGAAAAUAGAAAAAAGAACCAAACAGAGCUAAAGCAUAGAGUAACAAAUAAAAUAUACACUAAAAGGAAUAAACAGGAGAUUAUGGAUCAGGAAACAAAAGGACCAGCAAACUGGAAGAUAGAUAGUGAAAAUCACUCAAACCGAAAAGAAAAAAGAAAAAAAGAAUUAAAAAAAAAAAAAGAUUUAAGAGACCUUCGGGAUAACAUCAAGCAUACUAACUUUCACAUUAUAAGGGGUCCAGAAGGAGAAGAAAAUGGCAGAGAAUAUACUUGAAGACAUAACAGCUGAAAACUUCCCUAACCUGGGAAAAGAAAGCAGACACCCAGGUCCAGGAAGCACAGAGAGUCCCAAACAGGAUAAACCCAAAGAGGACCACAAUGAGACACACCAUAAAUAAAAUGACAAAAAUUAAAGAUAAAGAGAGAAUCUUAAAGCAGCAAGGGAAAAGCAACUAGUUAUGGACAAGGGAACUCCCACAAGUCUAUGAGCUGACUAUUCAGCAGAAACUCUGCAGGCCAUAAGGGAGUGGCACAAUAUAUUUAAAGUGAUGAAGGGGAAAAACCUACAACCAAAAAUACUCAACAAGGUUAUCAUUCAGAUCUGAUGAAGAGAUUGAGUAUUACUGACAAGCAAAAACUAAAAAGAGAGUUCAGUACCACAAAAUUAGCUUUGCAAGAAAUGUUAAAGGAAUAUCUCUAGGCAGGAAAUAAAAAGCCACAACUAGAUAUAUAAAAAUCAUACAAGGAAAAAUCUCAUUGGUAAAGGCAAAUAUAUAGUAAGGGUAGGAGAUAAACCACUUAUAAUGAUGGAAGGAAGAUUAAAAGACAAAAGUUGUAAAAUAAUUUAUAGCCAUGAUAAGUAGAUAAGGGACAUAACACAGACAGACUAGGUAAAAUAUGAUGUCAAAAACAUUAAACGUGGGAGUGAGGGGAGUAAAAAUGCAAGGUUGUUAAAAUGUGUUCACACAUCAAAUAUUUUUGAGAAAAUCCUCCAUCCAGCAUAAAUUGCCCUGAUCUUACCAGAUACUUUAGCAUCUUUAAGCUAUUUUCUCAAUUAAAAAAUAUUUUUACCACAAAUAAGUCAACUGAAAAUGUCAAGAAUUUUUAAUUUAUUAGCAUAACUUACAAUUUGAAGAGCUCAGAAUUUUAUGAAAAAACUACACAAAAAUAGAUAUAUACUGAAAAAAAAUUCUUCAGAAAAAUACCAGAGACACAGUUUUAGAGUUAAAAAUGUCCAAGAAUGGGAGUUCCUGUUGAGGCUCAGUGGGUUAAGAACCCGACCAGUAUCCAUGAGGACGUGGGUUCGAUCCCUAGCCUUGCUCAGUGGUUAAAGGAUUCAGUGUUGCUGUGAGCUGUGGUGUAGGUCGCAGACACGGCUCAGCUCUGGCAUUGCUGUGGCUGUGGUGUAGACUGGCGGCUGCAGCUCUGAUUCAACUCCUAGCCCAGGUACUUCCAUUUGCCACAGCUGUGGCCCUGAAAAAAAAGGCUAAGAAUGAAUAGGUGGAGCACAGAGGAUUUUUAGGGCAGUGAAACACUCUGCAUGAUACUAUAUUGAUAGAUACAUGUCAUUGUACAUUUGUUCAAACUUACAGAAUGUAGGCCACCAAGAGUGAACCUUACUAUUUAAACUAUAGACUCUGGGUGGUAACAAAGUAAUACAUGUACACUCUCAUGUGGGAGACAUUCAUGAGAGGGGAUGCCUGAAAGUGUGGGGGAAGGAGGUAUAUAUGGGAAACCUCUACACCCUCUCUUCAAUUUUGCUGUGACUACUAUUCCAGUCAUAAAAAGAGUACAGAUUUGCCAUUCGCAACAACCUUGAUGGACCUGGAGGGUAUUAUGCUUAGUGAAGUUAAGUCAAACAGAGAAGGACAAAUACUGUUUCCUCUAAUAUGUGAAAUCUAAAAAAUAAACCAAACAAAUGAAUAUAACAAAACAGAAAUACUCAGAUAUAGGAGUUCCCACUGUGACACAGUGGAAACUAAUCUGACUGGUAACCAUGAGGAUGCAGGUUUGACUCCUGGCCUAGCUAAGUGGGUCAGGGACCUGGUGUUGCCAUGAGCUGUGGUGUAGGUUGCAGAUGAGGGUUGGAGCCCAUGUUUCUGCCGGCAGCUGUAGCUCCAAUUCGAACCCUAGCCUGGGAACUUCCAUAAUGCUGCAGGUGUGCCCCUCCCUCCCCACCCUCCAAAAAGACAGACAUACUCAGAUAUAGAGAACAAACUAGUGUUUAUCUGAGGGAAGAUGAGUUGGGGGAGGAACACGACAGAGAAAGGUGAUCAAGAGGUACUAGGUAUAAAACAAAUAAAAUGCAAAGAUAUAAUGUGCAGCACAGGGAAUAUAACCAAAAUUUUAUAAUUUAUAAAAAUAUCGAAUCACUAUGGUAUACACCGGAAAGUAAUAAAACAUUAUAAAUCAUGUGUCUUAAAGGGAAAAAAUGACUAAGAAGCUGAUUCAAGAACAAAGAUAGGUACCAAGAACAAUUAUUCCAAUUGUUAUUUUUAGUGGCCGUAUCAUCAACAUUUAGACAUUUAAAGUUUUUUGCAUAAACAUACAUGGAUAUACUACUUUCAGUUUAUUAGAAAUAAAACCUUUGAAAAAAAUUUUUAGCAGGAGUUUUUGUCAUUCUAUCAAUAGAACAAAAUCAUUCUCAGUCAAUAAAUGUUUCAAAAGUAUGUAACAAAUUAGCAUUCCUUUCUCCUCUCUAAAGUGUGCUGUCACCCUACUUUUGAGGGCAGUUAAAAGAACACUAUGCGCAGAGUUCCUGCUGUGAUGCAGCAUGUAAAGAAUUUGAAUGCAGUGGCUUGGGUUGUUGCGGAGGCACUGGUUGGAUCCCUGACCUGGAGCAGUGGGUUAAAGGAUCCAGCAUUGCUACAGCUGAGGCUCAGGUCCAGCUGCCGCUUGGAUUUAAUCCCUGACCUGGGAACUUCCAUAUGCCAUGAGUGUGGUCAUUUAAAAAAAAGAGUGCUAUGUGUUCUGAGAGGAGUUCUAAAAAGGGGGUCACAGCAAUGUUUUCAGCAAAGGCAAUGGAAUAAUCAUGGCAUUUCUGAUGUCAUGUCCUUUUUUUUUUUUUUUUUUUUUUUUUUUUUGGUCUUUUUGCCAUUUCUUGAGCCGCUCCCGCGGCAAGGAGGUUCCCAGGCUAGGGGUCUCAUUGGAGCUGUAGCUGCCAGCCACAGCCACAGCCACAAGGGAUCCGAGCCACGUCUGUGACCUACAUCACAGCUCACGGGAAUGCCGGAUCCUUAACCCACUGAGCAAGGGCAGGGACCGAACCCGCAACCUCAUGGUUCCUAGUCGGAUUCGUUAACCACUGCGCCACGACGGGAACUCCUGUCACGUUCUUCUUGAUGAAGGACAACACUCAUGGAGAAUAUCCAGCAUCAAAAAGGAAAAAGUCAGUUCCACGGACUCAGGUUCCUUGUCUGUAAAAGGAAUGAGUGUGUCUUAAAGCAGAUCCCGCAAACCAGAGUGUAGGAAUCCCUUGGAAUGUUUUAAACAAAGACUGAACCCAAAUCUCUGAGAUACCCAGCAGGCUGCAUUUUCAAAGGCUCCCAGAGAUGCUGAUGGGUUGUCAGGCUUGAGUCUGCUGAACCAAC